GGCGAGUGAUCAAGCAGAGCGAUCUCGGGCCGUACGUGUUCACGUCGAAGCUGUUGAGUGGUGUAGCCAUAUUGAAGUUGUAGACAGAGGGAGGUUGUUGUUCGAGACAAUAGGGAAAGGUGGAUGAUAGUAGCAAAUCAGAGCAUGUGUUGUUGUUGCGGGACGGUGAACGCCUGUGAGUUUCCUCUUUUGCAAAUUUAACCAAGUAUUGAGGAAGACGUGUUGCUCGAGCUCUACAAGAGGAUUGGCCACUCCAUCACCAAUGACAUGAAGAUCCGUAAGGACCAUCCUGAUGAACAUGCUGAAGGAACACACAUGCUCUCCACCAGCAGAACACUUCUCGGUAUGUAUUUUUUAAAGAAGUGAUAUAUCGUGCUGGUCAGAUGGUUGUUACUUGAUUCAGGCAUACUUUCUGUGGGGAUAUUAGCUGGGUAAUCAUCUAGCUGGGACAUGGCAAUGGCAUUGGA
Non-coding RNA from Lolium perenne, 467 nucleotides. The record is from RefSeq and is a predicted model, not a curated record. NCBI's taxonomy places the organism in Eukaryota, Viridiplantae, Streptophyta, Magnoliopsida, Poales, Poaceae.